Molecule: ribosomal RNA, 378 nt
Filed under: uncultured organism
Description: partial 16S ribosomal RNA
Rfam family: Bacterial small subunit ribosomal RNA
Source: RNAcentral
GGGGGGGGGGCAAGCGUUGUUCGGGAAUUACUGGGGCGUAAAGGGGCGCGCAGGCGGCCUGGCCAGUCCUACGUGAAAUCCCACAGCUCAACUGUGGAACUGCGUGGGAUACUGCCAGGCUUGAGUCCCGGGAGAGGAGAGUGGAAUUCCCAGUGUAGCGGUGAAAUGCGUAGAUAUUGGGAGGAACACCGGUGGCGAAGGCGGCUCUCUGGACCGGCACUGACGCUGAGGCGCGAAAGCUAGGGGAGCAAACGGGAUUAGAUACCCCGGUAGUCCUAGCCCUAAACGAUGAGCACUUUGUGUGGCGGGUAUCGACCCCUGCCGUGCAGAAGCUAACGCAUUAAGUGCUCCGCCUGGGGAGUACGGUCGCAAAGGCUG